This is a long non-coding RNA of Hippopotamus amphibius kiboko, 742 nucleotides long. RefSeq lists it as uncharacterized. Lineage: Eukaryota; Metazoa; Chordata; Mammalia; Artiodactyla; Hippopotamidae. The record is from RefSeq and is a predicted model, not a curated record. The transcript has 4 exons.
GAGAGCGCAGCAGGCGCUGAGGUGCGCCUGCCAGGGAACAAGGUCUCAGCAGCAGGAAGGCCACCGUUCCUUCCCAGUAUCAGAAACUUAGGGGCUCGGGGGCAGGAGGCCACCGGGAUGGAGCCUGUCUGAACGUCGUCGGCGCUGUCUGCUUUUACAGCCCUCCCGCCCCUGACCCAGGCCGCUGCUCUCAGCCUCCUCUUCCUUGUGCUGCUUACCCGAGGCGGGCUCCCUCCAAACACCACCCGCUCUUGUGCUCUCAGAAACCACUGUCCCUGCUACACUCACCUGGGACCAAAGAGGCUGUUCACUGUGGCUCCAUGACAACAGUUGAUAUUGGUGAUGGGGAGAUUUCAGCUUUUCCCCAAUCUAAGAAGAAAGAUUUAAAUAAAGAAAUCAAAAUCCCAGACAUCCAAAGCUGAACUGGAAUGAGAUGAUGGUCCUGAGGUUCUCCUGACUGCGUGGGCCUGUUGGGAAGCCAACAGAUCUCUCCUGAGAGGUAUACUUAAACCACCUUGGUGGCUUCCUACUGUUCAAGAACAAAAAGGCUAGAGUAUUUAGCAUGCGUGUUUCUCCAGCUUUAAUUGAUCCUGCGCCCUCUAGUACUCUGGUCUUCUUUUGGCUCCUGUAGAAUGCCGUGCUCCCUCCUGCUGUAAGGAUUUUGGACAUGCCACUCACUCCCUCUGCCUGAAACCCAUUCACCCACCAUCUCAUCUGUAUUUCCCAGUUUGCUCUUCUAAAG